This 90-nucleotide transfer RNA is filed under the name Actinomycetota bacterium. RNAcentral's name for it is "tRNA-Ser". It matches the Rfam family "tRNA". Rfam says of the family: Transfer RNA (tRNA) molecules are approximately 80 nucleotides in length. Lineage: Bacteria; Bacillati; Actinomycetota. The record is from RNAcentral.
GGAGGGGUGGCAGAGCGGUCGAAUGCACCGGUCUUGAAAACCGGAGGGCUCCGUCGAGGGGUCCCGUGGGUUCGAAUCCCACCCCCUCCG